GGUAAGAUGGCUGAGAGUAAGCAUUAGACUGUAAAUCUAAAGACAGGGGUAGUACCCCUUUUUACCA
RNAcentral lists this transfer RNA (67 nucleotides) under Anomalurus pusillus. RNAcentral describes it as "tRNA-Tyr". It matches the Rfam family "tRNA". Rfam says of the family: Transfer RNA (tRNA) molecules are approximately 80 nucleotides in length. Their secondary structure includes four short double-helical elements and three loops (D, anti-codon, and T loops). Further hydrogen bonds mediate the characteristic L-shaped molecular structure. tRNAs have two regions of fundamental functional importance: the anti-codon, which is responsible for specific mRNA codon recognition, and the 3' end, to which the tRNAs corresponding amino acid is attached (by aminoacyl-tRNA synthetases). tRNAs cope with the degeneracy of the genetic code in two manners: having more than one tRNA (with a specific anti-codon) for a particular amino acid; and 'wobble' base-pairing, i.e. permitting non-standard base-pairing at the 3rd anti-codon position. The record is from RNAcentral. Lineage: Eukaryota; Metazoa; Chordata; Mammalia; Rodentia; Anomaluridae.